GAAAUGCGAUAAGCAAUGCGAAUUGCAGAAUUCCGCGAGUCAUCAGAUCUUUGAACGCAGCCCGCGCUUUGGAGCUCUCUCCUUAGCAUGUUUGUUUCAGUGUGUUUGGUUGACUUCAAACAGCUCAAUGCGAUUGAACUCUCCUCUUUACUGAGAAGGGAUCUCUCGUGAAAAGCGAAGGCGUGGGACUCAGCCCGCCAACGAUGUGGUCACUGUCUAACAGUGGUUUCGUUGGGUAACAUCGGUCUAGUCAAUUUAAUAAAUACGCUUUAAAACUUAAAACAACCUUCAAUCUGCACCUGAAAUCAAGCAAGAACACCCGCUGAACUUAA
This 332-nucleotide unclassified non-coding RNA is filed under the name uncultured fungus. RNAcentral's name for it is "sequence contains ITS1". The stretch from base 1 to 105 matches the Rfam family "5.8S ribosomal RNA", at positions 50 to 154 of the family's 154-position model. The record is from RNAcentral. Lineage: Eukaryota; Fungi.